RNAcentral lists this ribosomal RNA (523 nucleotides) under uncultured Alphaproteobacteria bacterium. RNAcentral's name for it is "bacterial SSU rRNA". It matches the Rfam family "Bacterial small subunit ribosomal RNA", at positions 355 to 896 of the family's 1533-position model. Lineage: Bacteria; Pseudomonadati; Pseudomonadota; Alphaproteobacteria. The record is from RNAcentral.
UGGGGAAUCUUGGACAAUGGGCGCAAGCCUGAUCCAGCCAUGCCGCGUGAGUGAUGAAGGCCUUAGGGUCGUAAAGCUCUUUCGCCAGGGAUGAUAAUGACAGUACCUGGUAAAGAAACCCCGGCUAACUCCGUGCCAGCAGCCGCGGUAAUACGGAGGGGGUUAGCGUUGUUCGGAAUUACUGGGCGUAAAGCGUACGUAGGCGGGUUGUUAAGUAAGAGGUGAAAUCCCAGGGCUCAACCCUGGAACUGCCUUUUAAACUGGCAACCUAGAGUUCGAGAGAGGUGAGUGGAAUUCCGAGUGUAGAGGUGAAAUUCGUAGAUAUUCGGAGGAACACCAGUGGCGAAGGCGGCUCACUGGCUCGAUACUGACGCUGAGGUACGAAAGUGUGGGGAGCAAACAGGAUUAGAUACCCUGGUAGUCCACACCGUAAACGAUGAAUGCCAGUCGUCAGGUAGCAUGCUAUUCGGUGACACACCUAACGGAUUAAGCAUUCCGCCUGGGGAGUACGGUCGCAAGAUUA